RNAcentral lists this ribosomal RNA (762 nucleotides) under Gyroporus pseudocyanescens. RNAcentral's name for it is "eukaryotic LSU rRNA". It matches the Rfam family "Eukaryotic large subunit ribosomal RNA", at positions 87 to 814 of the family's 3401-position model. Lineage: Eukaryota; Fungi; Basidiomycota; Agaricomycetes; Boletales; Gyroporaceae. The record is from RNAcentral.
CUGCGAGUGAAGCGGGAUGAGCUCAAAUUUCGAAUCUGACGGUCUCGGGCCGUCCGAGUUGUAAUCUAGAGAAGCGCCUUCCGCGCCAGACCCGUGUACAAGUCUCCUGGAAGGGAGCAUCGUAGAGGGUGACAGUCCCGUCUUCGACACGGAUCUCUGGGGCUAUGUGAUGCGCUCUCGACGAGUCGAGUUGUUUGGGAAUGCAGCUCCAAACGGGUGGUAAACUCCAUCUAAAGCUAAAUACCGGCGAGAGACCGAUAGCGAACAAGUACCGUGAGGGAAAGAUGAAAAGAACUUUGGAAAGAGAGUUAAACAGUAUGUGAAAUUGCUGGAAGGGAAACGCUCCGAGUCAGUCGUGUCUGCCGGGGAUCAACCCUGCGAUUACCGUGGGGCGUACUUCCCGGUGGACGGGCCAGCAUCGAUCUCGGUCGUCGUAGAAGGACGAGGGUGAAAGUGGCACCCCUCGGGGUGUGUUAUAGCCUCUCGUAUGCAUGCGACGACCAGGGAUCGAGGAACUCGACACGACCCCUCGAGGGUUCGGGGCCUCCGGGCUCACGCUCGCGUGUCUAGGAUGUUGGCAUAAUGGCUUCGAGCGACCCGUCUUGAAACACGGACCAAGGAGUCCAACAUGCCUGCGAGUGUUCGGGUGGCAAACCCGAGCGCGGAACGAAAGUGAAAGUCGAGACCUUCGUCGUGGAGGGCACCGACGCCCGGACCUGAGCCGUCGGCGAUGGAUCUGCGGUGGAGCAAAGCAUGUUGGGA